UGGGGAAUAUUGCACAAUGGGGGAAACCCUGAUGCAGCAACGCCGCGUGAAGGAAGACGGUUUUCGGAUUGUAAACUUCUGUUCUUAGUGAAGAAUAAUGACGGUAGCUAAGGAGCAAGCCACGGCUAACUACGUGCCAGCAGCCGCGGUAAUACGUAGGGGGCAAGCGUUAUCCGGAAUUACUGGGUGUAAAGGGAGCGCAGGCGGGAGACCAAGUCAGCUGUGAAAACUACGGGCUUAACCUGUAGACUGCAGUUGAAACUGGUUUCUUGAGUGAAGUAGAGGUUGGCGGAAUUCCGAGUGUAGCGGUGAAAUGCGUAGAUAUUCGGAGGAACACCGGUGGCGAAGGCGGCCAACUGGGCUUUAACUGACGCUGAGGCUCGAAAGUGUGGGGAGCAAACAGGAUUAGAUACC
Molecule: ribosomal RNA, 414 nt
Filed under: uncultured bacterium
Lineage: Bacteria
Description: bacterial SSU rRNA
Rfam family: Bacterial small subunit ribosomal RNA
Source: RNAcentral